UCUGUGUACUCCAUCCUCUGCACACUGCAGCUGAGCCUCCUCCACACCCAAUGCCCUCCCCGCUCCUGCCCUCCCGAGGCCGCUGCAGCCCAGAGGAGCAUCGAAUUAUCCCCUUCAGGAAGCACGUUGUCAGGGAGGAGCGAUGGUACAGCUGGGGGAUGGCGGUCAAUGUUUAUUCCACCUCUGUGACCAGCGAGAACCUGAGUCGUCAUGACAUGCUGGCAUGGGUCAACGACUCUUUACAACUCAGCUACACCAAAACUGAGCAGCUGUGCUCAGGUGCGGCGUACUGUCAGUUUAUGGACAUGCUCUUCCCCGGCUGUAUCUUACUGAAAAAAGUGAAAUUUCAGGCCAAGCUGGAACAUGAAUACAUCCACAACUUCAAAGUCUUACAGGCUGCCUUUAAGAAGAUGGGCGUAGACAAAAUUAUUCCAGUAGAGAAACUAGUGAAAGGAAAGUUCCAGGACAACUUUGAAUUCGUCCAGUGGUUUAAGAAAUUAUUUGAUGCAAAUUACGAUGGGAAGGAUUAUGACCCUCUAUUGGCCAGACAAGGACAAGACGUAGCGCCCCCACCUAACCCAGGAGACCAGGUCUUCAACAAGCCCAAGAAACCAAUUGGCACAGCAGUGCCCCAGAGAACAUCCCCUACGGGCCCCAAGACAAUGCAGCCCCUAGCACGAUUGCCAAACGUCACCCACCCUGUACGGAAAAACCCACCCAUCACCCGGAACGGUGGCAAUGACUUGGAUUCACGGAUCGUAGAACUCAACCAGCAGUUAAUGGAGCUGAAGCUGACAGUGGAUGGGCUGGAGAAAGAACGAGAUUUCUACUUCACUAAGCUGCGAGACAUCGAGCUGAUCUGUCAGGAGCAUGAGAGCGAGAGCAAUGGCAUCUUGUCCAAAAUCAUCGACAUCCUGUACGCCACAGAGGGGGUGUCAAAAGUCUGACUUGUAUCUUAGUGCAGACUUCUGGGAAAAUCAGUAAGCCAAUCACACAAGCAGGAAAUGACAUUUUCAGAACACCUCCAGAUAGCCAUUUUGCUUUGCAUUUUACAGAAAAUUACAGCGCUGAAAAUUGAAAAGGAAAGGAUGGAUUCGCUCCACCAGAUGACGAUGAAAAUGAGGAGCAUCAGCCAGAGGAUCAGGAUGAAUACUAACCAUACAUCUUUGCACUUCUUCCUCCUGGUCGCUGUGGCCCUGCUGCAUCAUCCGGGGAGGCUCCUUGUUGCCCAUCACCCAUCAACCAUUUUGCAGUAUGAACAUUUUAGGUUGGGAUCAGUACAUCCGCUCCUGCACUGUCAUCUAUCAUCGCAAUCUAUUGGGCAUCCCUCACUUUUCCCCCCUUCGGGCCACAUAUUCGCGAAGCGUGAACUUUGCAGUGGCGAAUGUGGAAGUGAUGUCUCCUAGGGCAUGGAUUGUUUUGCUUUUGCUGAACAUGGCACUUCAUUUAUUUAUCGGGAGAUCAUUACUGGCCCCUCUUUGGGGGGAAUUUAUAGCUGAUAUCAUUUGUCUUUGUUAACCCCUUUUUAACUCGAGCUCUGGUUGGAUGACCCACAUGGGAUUAUGCUUGUUGUGUUUUUAUACCUUUAGACCUGUCUUCCUGUUUUAUGGUCAUUUCAUCUCCUUGUCCUUUAUUCCUAAUUCUUCUUUGUUUUCCUGAAAUAGUGUAUUUGGAAUGGACGGCACAGUGGUGGGCAUUUAUAUAUUAAUUAUUAAGCCUUAAAUCAAUUAGAUAGAGCCUUAAAAUGAAUUUGUCACUGACAUGAGCAACUCAAAUUAAACAUAUGAAGAAAAAUGUGCAUAAGUAACAAUUGCCUUCAAUUUUCGGUGAAUACCUUUUAACAAUCAGUAGAUCCAGAUAUAUCAGUAGCCAAAGUUAUAUGGAAAUCUCCACUUUUCCUGUAAAAUGUAAGCUUGACACUGCCUCUUCCACUUCGGAUUGCCUCUUUAAUAGACACUUAAACAGUCUAUCACAUUAAAGGUCCAAUGGGACGAUUCGAGAGGUAGAAAUAGGCAAAGAGAAUUUUUACGUUUACAGGAAUUGCCAAUCAACCCUUUCUCUGUUAACAAUUUGAGAGACCUAGCCUGUAAUAGGCUACAAGUGCUGCUGUUGUUUGACGAUUACGGGUUUUAUAGCAUGACCCCUGCUUUGUCCUGUGGUUUCUCCCAGCAACAUCUACAUCACAACCUUGAGCUGUUGUGGCUUAGCAGCUGGUGGAAGGAACCACAGCACACAGCAGAGGAGGCACUACCUGACACAUCAGAAAGUGUCGGAUAGCAGUGGCACCCAUAGAUUUUCCAAAGAGUGAUGAUUUGACACACCACAGAAAGCAUAACCCUUCUUUUACAGGCUGGAUCUUUCAGCUUUUUAUGUGUCUGGAUCUACUAGUUGUUUAUGGCAUGUGGUUUGAUUGAAGGCAACCUGUGCAUCUUUUUCUAUACACUCAAUUUGGUUCAUGAUAGGUUUCGUUUAAAGGGCAAACCCACCCAAUGUUAAUUAAUGAGCUUUUUGUAGACUAUGUUUAAUGCCAUUGCUUGCAGACUUAUUAAAAAGCUUCUGGGGUCACGUUGAGCAGACCUUUUGGUUGUACUGCACUUGUGACUUCACUUGUCAUCAUGCUGA
Molecule: RNA transcript, 2622 nt
Organism: Rana temporaria (common frog)
Lineage: Eukaryota; Metazoa; Chordata; Amphibia; Anura; Ranidae
Gene: MAPRE3
Gene name: microtubule associated protein RP/EB family member 3
Exons: 8
Source: RefSeq, a predicted model, not a curated record